This 252-nucleotide ribosomal RNA is filed under the name uncultured bacterium. Its description in RNAcentral is "partial 16S ribosomal RNA". It matches the Rfam family "Bacterial small subunit ribosomal RNA", at positions 524 to 776 of the family's 1533-position model. The record is from RNAcentral.
UACGUAGGGUGCGAGCGUUGUCCGGAAUUAUUGGGCGUAAAGAGCUUGUAGGCGGUUUGUCGCGUCUGCUGUGAAAACCCGGGGCUCAACCCCGGGCCUGCAUUCGAUACGGGCAGACUAGAGGUGAUCAGGGGAGAACGAAUUCCUGGUGUAGCGGUGAAAUGCGCAGAUAUCAGGAGGAACACCGGUGGCGAAGGCGGUUCUCUGGGCAUUACCUGACGCUGAGGAGCGAAAGUGUGGGGAGCGAACAGG